This 216-nucleotide ribosomal RNA is filed under the name Triticum aestivum (bread wheat). RNAcentral describes it as "partial small subunit ribosomal RNA". The record is from RNAcentral. Lineage: Eukaryota; Viridiplantae; Streptophyta; Magnoliopsida; Poales; Poaceae.
AUGCCGGUCUCCACUUCCUCUGCGAUCCAGGUAGCUAGUGUGCGCACGCAUGUACCCGUGACGCUCGACCUGCAGGCAUCCAACUUCACCAAGUGGCGGAUGCUCGUUUGCGUUCUUCUCGGCAAGUACGACUUGCUUCCUCACGUCAACGCCGUCAACGCCGCGGCGGACCGCACGCCGGACUGGACUCGCGAGGACUACGUCGUCCGGUCAUGA